UGGUGAAGUGAUUUGUCUGGUUGAUUCCGUUAACGAACGAGAUCUUGACCAUUAAAUAGGCCGCAGUGUCGAAGUAGUUCGUUUGGUGCUCCUUCGGGAAACUACCUUCGAGCGAGACAGCUGCGUCUUAAGCUUCUUAUUGGGACUGUGCGCGUCUAUAGCGCGCGGAAGUGCAAGCCAAUAGCA
This 186-nucleotide ribosomal RNA is filed under the name uncultured eukaryote. RNAcentral's name for it is "partial 18S ribosomal RNA". It matches the Rfam family "Eukaryotic small subunit ribosomal RNA", at positions 1299 to 1458 of the family's 1831-position model. The record is from RNAcentral.